Long non-coding RNA from Brassica napus (rape), 3690 nucleotides. RefSeq lists it as uncharacterized. The record is from RefSeq and is a predicted model, not a curated record. NCBI's taxonomy places the organism in Eukaryota, Viridiplantae, Streptophyta, Magnoliopsida, Brassicales, Brassicaceae. The transcript has 4 exons.
UAAUACGAAAAGGAAAAACAUUUUCUCCCAAAUCUCUCCGUAACCUAGUUUCGUAUUUUCUCUCUUCUUGACUUUCGAGAACUCUAUCAAUCGACGCUUCCACAAUUUGCUGAAACAGCAAAUCCCUUCGAUUUUUCUUAAUGAUUCGCAUAAAAUCUCUGAUCGCAAUUUUGUUUCUAAUCGUUUGUAAUUGAUGUUGAUCAGAGUUUCCUUUUCUCUCGUUCGCCUGAAGCGGAUCUAGCUGGUUAGGGCUUCUCGCUCGCCCCGUCGAGUUCUAUAACAGAAACAGAGAAUAAAAGGCUUCAUUCAAGAAGAAGAGACUUUGAACAAGAUUCAAGUGAUUAUGAUGAGACGAAAAUGAAGGAGUUAGAGCAGAUCAGCGUGACAACAUAUAACAUCACCUCAAACGCAAUGAUGACAAUGAUCUUUGUUGGCCUUGACUCCGCGCUUCACACCGUCUCUCUAAGGUAAAUUCUCUGCAUGUCCUUAGACUUUCUCGUUUUGUUUUGAAGCGCUUUUAUCCCGGUUUUUUUUUUGAGAUUUUUGAAAUCAGGAUUCCGUUUUGAACUGUUUUUUAUUUGACUCCGAUUUUCCUCUUUUUUAACAGGACUUUUAAAGCUUUUUGUUUUCUUGUGGUUUUAUCAAACCCAAGAGAUUAGGCAGACGUUCUUGUAAUGUUCCACCAAAUCUUGUUUGGGAACAUUGUUUUGGUUUUGUUUUGUUUUUGUUUUUCAAACCCCAAAAAAGAUCAUAGAUAGACACUAAUCUUAUAGUGUUCUGUCAGAUUCUUGUUUGGGAACAUUGUCCCUUGCUGCCUCUAAAAGAAACUUAUGCCAUCCCCUAUAGCAAGAUUGUUAAAUGGACCGGGAAUAUGGGUUGGUGGUGCAUGUAUAAAGUAGGGCGUUAGGGGAUGGCAAAUAAGAGCAUGCCGCUCAGUCUUAAGACAAAAGACUAUAACUGAAAACAGAUUCCUUACCCACGGCUUACACAUGUCUUGACAAAGACAAAGAUUUAUUACCCACGGCUUACAAGUCUUAAAGACUUUUCUGUUUUCAGUUAUUUGAAUGGUACAGUUUGAGAAAGUCUUAAGACAAGGACUAUAACUGAAAACAGAUUCUUUACCCACGGCUUACAAAGAUUUAGUACCCACGGCUUGAGAGAAUUUGUUUUCAGUUAUUUGAAUGGUUAUGGUUUGAGAAAGUCUUAAGACAAGGACUAUAACUGAAAACAGAUUCAUUACCCACGGCUUACUAAUGUCUGGACAAAGACAAAGAAAAUGUAGGAGGUUUAAGACUUGUUGGAUUGGAAAUAACGACCAACAACCCAGAAAAAAGCCAUUAGUGGAUGGAAAAUAAGACCAACGGCUUAAGAAGAUCUCAAGACAGAGACUACUAAUUGAAAGCAGAUUCCUGAUUUCACUACUCAUGGCUUACAAAAGACAGAUCGGUAAAAAGACAUGUUGGAUGGGAAAAUAAUAUGAAAGACAAUGUCAAUGGGGCAGUUCUAAGCCUUGCUGGAUGGAAAUUAACGACCAGCUGCGUAGAAAAAUUUGUUUGGGGAUGGCAAAUAAAACCAAACGGCUUAUAAGUCUCAAGGCAAAAAAAAAAAGACUGUGAUUUACUACCCACGGCUUUGUCCAAAUCUGUUUUCAGUUAUUCCAAUGGAAUGGAGUUAAUGACCACAGUUUGAGAAUGUCUUAAAGACAGAGACUAAGAACUGAAAACAGAUUCCUUACUUUACCACCCACGGCUUAUAAGUCUUAAAGACAAAAGACUUUUAUGAGAAUCUGUUUUCAGUUAUUUGAAUGGUACUGUUUGAGAAAGUCUUAAGACAAGGACUAUAACUGAAAACAGAUUCCUUACCCACGGCUUACAAAGAUUUAGUACCCACGGCUUGAGAGAAUCUGUUUUCAGUUAUUUGAAUGGUUAUGGUUUGAGAAAGUCUUAAGACAAGGACUCUAACUGAAAACAGAUUCCUUACCCACGGCUUACAAAGAUUUAGUACCCACGGCUUGAGAGAAUCUGUUUUCAGUUAUUUGAAUGGUUAUGGUUUGAGAAAGUCUUAAGACAAAGAUUAUAACUGAAAAUAGAUUCCUUACCCGCGGCUUACAAAUGUCUUGACAAAGACAAAGAAAAUGCAAGAGGUUAAGACUUGUUGGAUUGGAAAUAAGACCACACGGCUUACAAGUCUUAAAGACAAAAGACUUUUAUGAGAUUCUGUUUUCAGUUAUUUGAAUGGUACUGUUUGAGAAAGUCUUAAGACAAGGACUAUAACUGAAAACAGAUUCCUUACCCACGGCUUACAAAGAUUUAUUACCCACGGCUUACAGUUGUCUUGAUAAAGAAAAAGAAAAUGUGGGGUUUUGGAAAUAAGACCACACGGCUUACAAGUCUUAAAGACAAAAGACUUUUAUGAGAUUCUGUUUUCAGUUAUUUGAAUGGUACUGUUUGAGAAAGUCUGAAGACAAAGACUAUAACUGAAAACAGAUUCCUUACCCACGGCUUACAAAGAUUUAUUACCCACGGCUUACAGUUGUCUUGAUAAAGAAAAAGACAACGUGGGGUUUCUAAGACUUGUUGGAGUGGAAAUAACGACCAACAGCCCAGAAAAAAAAAGUCAUUAGUGGAUGAAAAAUAAGACCACACGGCUUACAAGUCUUAAAGACAAAAGACUUUUACGAGAAUCUGUUUUCUGUUACUUGAAUGGUACAGUUUGAAGAAGUCUUAAGACAAGGACUAUAACUGAAAACAGAUUUCUUACCCACGACUUACAAAGAUUUAGUACCCACGGCUUGAGAUAAUCUGUUUUCAGUUAUUUGAAUGGUUACGGUUUGAGAAAGUCUAAAGACAGAAUAUAACUGAAAACAGAUUUCUUACCUACGGCUUACAAAUGUCUUGACAAAGACAGAGAAAAUUUAGGAGGUUUAAGACUUGUUGGAUUGGAAAUAACGACCAACAGCCUAGAAAAUGUCAUUAAUGGAUGGAAAAUAAGACCACACGGUUUAGAAGUCUUAAGACAAAAGACUUUAGUACCCACGGCUUUCAAAAUUCUGUUUUUGAUCUAUGGAUGGAUGGAGUAACGACCUACGGUUUAAGAAAGUCUUAAGACAAAGGCUACAAAUUGAAAGCAGAUUCCUUACUUCACUACUCAUGGCUUACAAGAAAAGAAUUGUUGGAUGGAAAUAUAUUGCAAUAGGGCAGGCAGUUAUUAGACUUGUGUCCAUCCGUAGAAGAAACAAGGUGGGCAUACUACGUAACUAAAGACUAAUUAUUUUUAUUUCCUCAGGUAUGUACUUCAGAAGGCGUUCAUAUUGUUUGGGAGAUUCUGAAGAGAUUUGAAGUGUAGAAGACUUCUGUGACAGUUAAAUUUGGAUGUCUGAGCACUUGCGACAUUCCGCAACGACAUAUUACAAUACGUUCUGAAGUAUGCAUCUUCCUUGCAGUUUUGUAGUUAAAUCUAUUGACCGUUUUGAAAAUUGUUUUGGUAUCGUACUAAAAUAUAUGUCUUUGGUCUAUUAGCCAUACAUAGUUGAUGGGCCGUGGAAAUCUAUUGAAUCAUGGUGUAUUCAUUUAAAAUGUGCAAUAGAUGUUUUCGCGGUUUCUCUUUGAUACUUUUGUUUUAAUAAUAUUUUUAUGAUUGAUGUCAAAAAAAACAGGAAAUGAAUAUUAUUUGAACUCUUUUUUUGCUCUC